GGGUUGUGAGGUUAAGCGACUAAGCGUACACGGUGGAUGCCCUGGCAGUCAGAGGCGAUGAAGGACGUGCUAAUCUGCGAAAAGCGACGGCGAGGUGAUAUGAACCUUUGACCCGUCGAUGUCCGAAUGGGGAAACCCAGUGCAAUUCGUUGCACUAUCGUUAACUGAAUACAUAGGUUAACGAGGCGAACCGGGGGAACUGAAACAUCUAAGUACCCCGAGGAAAAGAAAUCAACCGAGAUUCCCCCAGUAGCGGCGAGCGAACGGGGAGCAGCCCGGAGUCUGAAUCAGCUUGUGUGUUAGUGGAAGCGUCUGGAAAGUCGCACGGUACAGGGUGACAGUCCCGUACACGAAAAUGCACAGGUUGUGAACUCGAAGAGUAGGGCGGGACACGUGGUAUCCUGUCUGAAUAUGGGGGGACCAUCCUCCAAGGCUAAAUACUCCUGACUGACCGAUAGUGAACCAGUACCGUGAGGGAAAGGCGAAAAGAACCCCGGCGAGGGGAGUGAAAAAGAACCUGAAACCGUGUACGUACAAGCAGUGGGAGCACCUUCGUGGUGUGACUGCGUACCUUUUGUAUAAUGGGUCAGCGACUUAUAUUCUGUAGCAAGGUUAACCGUAUAGGGGAGCCGCAGGGAAACCGAGUCUUAACUGGGCGUUAAGUUGCAGGGUAUAGACCCGAAACCCGGUGAUCUAGCCAUGGGCAGGUUGAAGGUUGGGUAACACUAACUGGAGGACCGAACCGACUAAUGUUGAAAAAUUAGCGGAUGACCUGUGGCUGGGGGUGAAAGGCCAAUCAAACCGGGAGAUAGCUGGUUCUCCCCGAAAGCUAUUUAGGUAGCGCCUCGUGAACUCAUCUUCGGGGGUAGAGCACUGUUUCGGCUAGGGGGCCAUCCCGGCUUACCAACCCGAUGCAAACUACGAAUACCGAAGAAUGUUAUCACGGGAGACACACGGCGGGUGCUAACGUCCGUCGUGAAGAGGGAAACAACCCAGACCGCCAGCUAAGGUCCCAAAGUCAUGGUUAAGUGGGAAACGAUGUGGGAAGGCACAGACAGCCAGGAUGUUGGCUUAGAAGCAGCCAUCAUUUAAAGAAAGCGUAAUAGCUCACUGGUCGAGUCGGCCUGCGCGGAAGAUGUAACGGGGCUAAACCAUGCACCGAAGCUGCGGCAGCGACGCUUAUGCGUUGUUGGGUAGGGGAGCGUUCUGUAAGCCGUUGAAGGUGGCCUGUGAGGGUUGCUGGAGGUAUCAGAAGUGCGAAUGCUGACAUAAGUAACGAUAAAGCGGGUGAAAAGCCCGCUCGCCGGAAGACCAAGGGUUCCUGUCCAACGUUAAUCGGGGCAGGGUGAGUCGACCCCUAAGGCGAGGCCGAAAGGCGUAGUCGAUGGGAAACAGGUUAAUAUUCCUGUACUUGGUGUUACUGCGAAGGGGGGACGGAGAAGGCUAUGUCAGCCGGGCGACGGUUGUCCCGGUUUAAGCGUGUAGGUGUGUGUUCCAGGCAAAUCCGGUUCACUUUAACACUGAGGCGUGAUGACGAGGCACUACGGUGCUGAAGUGAUAAAUGCCCUGCUUCCAGGAAAAGCCUCUAAGCAUCAGGUAACACGAAAUCGUACCCCAAACCGACACAGGUGGUCAGGUAGAGAAUACCAAGGCGCUUGAGAGAACUCGGGUGAAGGAACUAGGCAAAAUGGUGCCGUAACUUCGGGAGAAGGCACGCUGAUAUGUAGGUGAAGUCCCUGCGGACGGAGCUGAAAUCAGUCGAAGAUACCAGCUGGCUGCAACUGUUUAUUAAAAACACAGCACUGUGCAAACACGAAAGUGGACGUAUACGGUGUGACGCCUGCCCGGUGCCGGAAGGUUAAUUGAUGGGGUUAGCGGCAACGCGAAGCUCUUGAUCGAAGCCCCGGUAAACGGCGGCCGUAACUAUAACGGUCCUAAGGUAGCGAAAUUCCUUGUCGGGUAAGUUCCGACCUGCACGAAUGGCGUAAUGAUGGCCAGGCUGUCUCCACCCGAGACUCAGUGAAAUUGAACUCGCUGUGAAGAUGCAGUGUACCCGCGGCAAGACGGAAAGACCCCGUGAACCUUUACUAUAGCUUGACACUGAACACUGGUCCUUGAUGUGUAGGAUAGGUGGGAGGCUUUGAAGCGUGGACGCCAGUCUGCGUGGAGCCGUCCUUGAAAUACCACCCUUUAAUGGCUGGUGUUCUAACGUGGACCCGUAAUCCGGGUUGCGGACAGUGUCUGGUGGGUAGUUUGACUGGGGCGGUCUCCUCCCAAAGAGUAACGGAGGAGCACGAAGGUUAGCUAAUCCUGGUCGGACAUCAGGAGGUUAGUGCAAUGGCAUAAGCUAGCUUGACUGCGAGAGUGACGGCUCGAGCAGGUGCGAAAGCAGGUCAUAGUGAUCCGGUGGUUCUGAAUGGAAGGGCCAUCGCUCAACGGAUAAAAGGUACUCCGGGGAUAACAGGCUGAUACCGCCCAAGAGUUCAUAUCGACGGCGGUGUUUGGCACCUCGAUGUCGGCUCAUCACAUCCUGGGGCUGAAGUAGGUCCCAAGGGUAUGGCUGUUCGCCAUUUAAAGUGGUACGCGAGCUGGGUUUAGAACGUCGUGAGACAGUUCGGUCCCUAUCUGCCGUGGGCGCUGGAGAAUUGAGGGGGGCUGCUCCUAGUACGAGAGGACCGGAGUGGACGCAUCACUGGUGUUCGGGUUGUCAUGCCAAUGGCACUGCCCGGUAGCUAAAUGCGGAAGAGAUAAGUGCUGAAAGCAUCUAAGCACGAAACUUGCCCCGAGAUGAGUUCUCCCUGAGACUUUAAGUCUCCUGAAGGAACGUUGAAGACGACGACGUUGAUAGGCCGGGUGUGUAAGCGCAGCGAUGCGUUGAGCUAACCGGUACUAAUGAACCGUGAGGCUUAACCUUACAACGCCGAAGCUGUU
Molecule: ribosomal RNA, 2931 nt
Filed under: Enterobacter bugandensis
Lineage: Bacteria; Pseudomonadati; Pseudomonadota; Gammaproteobacteria; Enterobacterales; Enterobacteriaceae
Description: 23S ribosomal RNA
Rfam family: Bacterial large subunit ribosomal RNA
Source: RNAcentral